GACGAACGCUGGCGGCGUGCUUAACACAUGCAAGUCGAACGGAAAGGCCCUGCUUUUGUGGGGUGCUCGAGUGGCGAACGGGUGAGUAACACGUGAGUAACCUGCCCUUGACUUUGGGAUAACUUCAGGAAACUGGGGCUAAUACCGGAUAGGAGCUCCUGCUGCAUGGUGGGGGUUGGAAAGUUUCGGCGGUUGGGGAUGGACUCGCGGCUUAUCAGCUUGUUGGUGGGGUAGUGGCUUACCAAGGCUUUGACGGGUAGCCGGCCUGAGAGGGUGACCGGCCACAUUGGGACUGAGAUACGGCCCAGACUCCUACGGGAGGCAGCAGUGGGGAAUAUUGCACAAUGGGCGGAAGCCUGAUGCAGCAACGCCGCGUGCGGGAUGACGGCCUUCGGGUUGUAAACCGCUUUCGCCUGUGACGAAGCGUGAGUGACGGUAAUAGGUAAAGAAGCACCGGCUAACUACGUGCCAGCAGCCGCGGUGAUACGUAGGGUGCGAGCGUUGUCCGGAUUUAUUGGGCGUAAAGGGCUCGUAGGUGGUUGAUCGCGUCGGAAGUGUAAUCUUGGGGCUUAACCCUGAGCGUGCUUUCGAUACGGGUUGACUUGAGGAAGGUAGGGGAGAAUGGAAUUCCUGGUGGAGCGGUGGAAUGCGCAGAUAUCAGGAGGAACACCAGUGGCGAAGGCGGUUCUCUGGGCCUUUCCUGACGCUGAGGAGCGAAAGCGUGGGGAGCGAACAGGCUUAGAUACCCUGGUAGUCCACGCUGUAAACGGUGGGUACUAGGUGUGGGGUCCAUUCCACGGGUUCCGUGCCGUAGCUAACGCUUUAAGUACCCCGCCUGGGGAGUACGGCCGCAAGGCUAAAACUCAAAGGAAUUGACGGGGCCCCGCACAAGCGGCGGAGCAUGCGGAUUAAUUCGAUGCAACGCGUAGAACCUUACCUGGGUUUGACAUGGAUCGGGAGUGCUCAGAGAUGGGUGUGCCUCUUUUGGGGUCGGUUCACAGGUGGUGCAUGGCUGUCGUCAGCUCGUGUCGUGAGAUGUUGGGUUAAGUCCCGCAACGAGCGCAGCCCUUGUUCACUGUUGCCAGCACGUUAUGGUGGGGACUCAGUGGAGACCGCCGGGGUCAACUCGGAGGAAGGUGGGGAUGACGUCAAGUCAUCAUGCCCCUUAUGUCCAGGGCUUCACGCAUGCUACAAUGGCUGGUACAGAGAGUGGCGAGCCUGUGAGGGUGAGCGAAUCUCGGAAAGCCGGUCUCAGUUCGGAUUGGGGUCUGCAACUCGACCUCAUGAAGUCGGAGUCGCUAGUAAUCGCAGAUCAGCAACGCUGCGGUGAAUAAAUUCCCGGG
Molecule: ribosomal RNA, 1343 nt
Filed under: uncultured bacterium
Lineage: Bacteria
Description: 16S ribosomal RNA
Rfam family: Bacterial small subunit ribosomal RNA
Source: RNAcentral